This 497-nucleotide ribosomal RNA is filed under the name uncultured bacterium. RNAcentral describes it as "partial 16S ribosomal RNA". It matches the Rfam family "Bacterial small subunit ribosomal RNA", at positions 28 to 507 of the family's 1533-position model. The record is from RNAcentral.
GAUGAACGCUGGCGGCGUGCCUAAUACAUGCAAGUCGAGCGAACGGACGAGAAGCUUGCUUCUCUGAUGUUAGCGGCGGACGGGUGAGUAACACGUGGAUAACCUACCUAUAAGACUGGGAUAACUUCGGGAAACCGGAGCUAAUACCGGAUAAUAUUUUGAACCGCAUGGUUCAAAAGUGAAAGACGGUCUUGCUGUCACUUAUAGAUGGAUCCGCGCUGCAUUAGCUAGUUGGUAAGGUAACGGCCUACCAAGGCAACGAUGCAUAGCCGACCUGAGAGGGUGAUCGGCCACACUGGAACUGAGACCCGGUCCAGACUCCUACGGGAGGCAGCAGUAGGGAAUCUUCCGCAAUGGGCGAAAGCCUGACGGAGCAACGCCGCGUGAGUGAUGAAGGUCUUCGGAUCGUAAAACUCUGUUAUUAGGGAAGAACAUAUGUGUAAGUAACUGUGCACAUCUUGACGGUACCUAAUCAGAAAGCCACGGCUAACUACGUG